ACCUGUCGGCUCUGGUCAAGGACAUCAACGGCGAAGCGCUGUCCCCCGCCGGCCUCGCCAAAAUCGCCGCCGUCGAUCCGGCCUCCCUGCCGCUGGUUGACGGGAAUCCGCGCCUCGGCGCACCGGUCNNNNNNNNNNNCCAAAUUCGUCGCCAUCGGCCUGAACUAUGCCGAUCACGCGGCCGAAGCCGGCAUGGCAAUUCCGUCCGAGCCGAUCGUUUUCAUCAAGGCCAACACCAGCCUUUGCGGGCCGAACGACAAUAUCGAAAAACCGCGCGGAUCGACCAAGCUCGACUGGGAAGUCGAACUCGCGAUCAUCAUCGGCACCAAGGCAAAGUAUGUCACCGAAGCCGACGCCCUGAAGCACGUCGCGGGCUAUGCGGUCUGCAACGAU
This 393-nucleotide unclassified non-coding RNA is filed under the name Hevea brasiliensis (rubber tree). The record is from RNAcentral. Lineage: Eukaryota; Viridiplantae; Streptophyta; Magnoliopsida; Malpighiales; Euphorbiaceae.